GGCGGGGAAGAGCCGGGUCGCUCUCGUCAGCUGAGGAGAAUGAUUCAUAGAGGAGGGUCUGGAGAGGAGAAAGGUUCUGUCUUUGAAAGCCCACUUAAAGGGCUGGACUCUUCUCCGAGGGAGGGAGAGGCAGGAGAGCAAGCAGGAGCUCGGGCCUGACCCAGCCUCAGGCCGUUCGCCAGGCCUCUACCGAGUCCUGGGCCUUGUCGUGGGUGGCCGCGAGGCGCCGGUUGCUGGGGGACGAGUGACGUCGCGGGGUGAAAGUUGAGGGGCGGUGACGUAGGGCCUGCCCGGGCGGAGGCUGGCGGGUUGGAGGCAGAGGGAGGGAGGGAAGGAGUGAAGGAAGGAAGCUGGGAAGGAGCGAGCGAGCGGGGGCGCGAGGCUUUUACCUGGAGGCAGCGGCUUGGGCGCGCAGAGCGGCCGCGGCUCCCCCGCACCUGCGGCCAUGGAUGAGGAGCGCGCCCUCUACAUCGUCCGGGCCGGCGAGGCGGGGGCUAUCGAGCGGGUCCUGAGGGAUUACAGCGAUAAGCAUAGGUCUACUUUCAAAUUUGAAUCAACAGAUGAAGAUAAAAGAAAGAAACUCUGUGAAGGCAUAUUUAAAGUUCUUAUAAAGGACAUCCCAACAACAUGUCAAGUAUCCUGCCUGGAAGUUCUCCGCAUUCUCUCCAGAGACAAAAAGGUUUUAGUUCCUGUAACAACCAAGGAAAACAUGCAGAUACUGCUGCGACUAGCCAAGCUAAAUGAGUUGGAUGAUUCUUUGGAUAAGGUGUCAGAGUUCCCAGUUAUUGUGGAGUCAUUAAAAUGUCUGUGUAACAUAGUGUUCAACAGUCAGAUGGCACAGCAGCUCAGCCUGGAACUUAACCUUGCUGCAAAGCUCUGUAACCUCCUGAGAAAGUGCAAGGACCGAAAGUUUAUCAGUGACAUUAAGUGCUUUGACUUGCGCUUGCUCUUCCUCCUGUCACUUUUGCACACCGACAUCAGGUCACAAUUGCGCUAUGAGCUCCAGGGACUACCGCUGCUAACCCAGAUCUUGGAAAGUGCCUUUAGCAUCAAGUGGACCGAUGAAUAUGAAUCGGCCAUAGACCAUAAUGGACCUCCUCUCUCACCUCAGGAGACAGACUGUGCCAUUGAGGCCCUCAAAGCUCUCUUCAAUGUGACAGUAGACAGUUGGAAGGUGCAUAAAGAGAGUGAUUCUCAUCAGUUUCGUGUCAUGGCAGCUGUCCUUCGCCAUUGUUUACUAAUCGUAGGUCCAACUGAAGAAAAAACAGAAGAGCUACACAGUAAUGCAGUCAACCUUUUAAGCAACGUUCCAGUCUCUUGUUUGGAUGUUCUCAUUUGUCCAUUAACCCAUGAAGAAACAACCCAAGAGGCAACUACUCUAGAUGAACUGCCCGGUGAUAAAACAACUGAGAAAGAAACAGUUUUGAAAAAUAGUACCAUGGUAUACAAUGGUAUGAAUAUGGAGGCCAUUCAUGUUUUACUCAAUUUUAUGGAGAAGAGAAUAGACAAGGGAAGCAGCUAUAGAGAGGGUCUAACUCCGGUUCUCAGCUUAUUAACAGAAUGCUCCCGAGCCCAUCGAAACAUCAGAAAAUUUCUCAAAGAUCAGGUUUUACCACCAUUGAGGGAUGUGACAAAUCGACCUGAAGUUGGCUCAACUGUAAGAAAUAAGCUGGUGCGCCUCAUGACACACGUUGACCUUGGAGUCAAGCAAAUUGCUGCUGAAUUCCUUUUCGUCCUCUGCAAAGAAAGAGUGGAUAGCCUGCUGAAGUACACCGGCUAUGGGAAUGCUGCAGGACUGUUGGCGGCCAGGGGCCUCUUGGCUGGAGGACGAGGAGAUAAUUGGUACUCAGAGGAUGAGGACACAGACACUGAAGAAUACAAAAAUGCAAAACCAAACAUUAAUCUUAUCACUGGUCAUUUAGAGGAACCAAUGCCAAACCCCAUAGAUGAAAUGACAGAAGAACAAAAAGAAUAUGAAGCCAUGAAACUUGUCAACAUGCUUGAUAAACUUUCCAGGAGAGCAGAUGUGAAGGACCUGCACCAGGAUGGUGGUUAGCAACAGUGGCCCGUGCCAAAGCAUUUACCAAAGUGAUGACUAAGGUUGGUCAUGCCAAGUACUGUUACUGAGCCUGGUGUAGGGUACAGAUGUUAUUUACCACCAAAACUGUAAAACCAUCAGUGCAAAGAUUAAAAUUACAUUUCGAUGUUGCCUCCAUGCUAGACAUAGCCACUGCCUCAAGUUGCUCACCACUUGAGCAGCUUUAUCUCAGCUAAAUUUCCAAGGACACUAGAUAGAUUAGUGCUCAGGUAUUUUUUUUCCAUUGACUACUAACUGACAGUAGUAUUCCAAGUGAUUUCUUUUUUUUUUAGUAUAAGGAUUGUAUUUGUGACAGAUGUAGGUAAGGGAAUUGGCAGUGGACCUGGAGGUCUUAAGAGUCUGAGAAUAACCUGAACCCUAUAAAUCCCAUCAUGUCUAGCUAGUACAGUGCCUUGUACCCUAUGGUUUCCCCAGCAUGUGAUAAUGAAAUAAUGAACACGGUUGAUUUCCCAAAUUGGUUAAUUUUUUGCUCAAUAAAAUAGCCUACAUGGUUUAAAGACUUUAAAGUAUAUUCCUGUCAGUUCCAUUUCUUGGCCAGAUAUCAUGAAAUUCAGAUCUGGAAAGGCAUUCCAUAAGAUACUUUGGCCCAUGACUGGCUAAUUUAAAUACUGGGGUACAUAAUUCCUUUAAUAUAGAAAUAAUUAUAAUAUUUAUCAGACAUAAGCAUUAAGCCCUGAAGCAUGAGAUUAUAGAAAGCUUCAUUUGACAUUUUUAAUAUGAAAACAGGUGGAAAAGGGGAUGAAAUUUGCCUGCCUCUCCAUCUCCCCUUUCCUUUUCUGAAUUGGAAAAUAAGCCACUGCAACUUAAGCAGGAGAUUAGAAUGAGGAUUGUGUAUUGUGUGUGGUUAAGCAAGUCCAGUGUGGCUAAUACAAUUGCAUUCACCUUAGCUACAGCACACAACUGACAUGUAAUAAUGCAGCCUCCUCCACAGAAGGGGAGAGACAAUUGAUUGGCUUAAGCCUAAACUAACCAAGGGAAAUAAUAUUUCAAGUUUCAGUUUUGUUUUGCCUUUCUAAUCCCCUUUACUUUCUUAAUUAGGACCAGGACUAAUUAAUCUUCUACCCUACCCUUACCCCAUCACAGUUUAACAAGGUGCAUUGCCUUUUUGCUUAUAUAUUCUACUACCAAAAUCUUCUAAAAUUUACAUUUAUAUAGAUAAUUGUUUUCCAUUGCUUCCUUUUAUCUACUCCUUAUCCUAUAUAUAUACAUAUACAUAUAUAUAUAUAUAUAUAUUCUUUUUUUUUUUUUUUUGCCAGCCAUUGUGUAGUAUUUGGGACAUGGCUUUCUUAAUAAAUGCAAGUACCAAAUACAGGAAUAGUUCCCCUUUAAUCUAAAGAUGAUUUUUGAACUUAUUAAAGUUGGGACAGGUAAUUUAUGACUGAAAGUCAUAAUUAUAUAAUUUUUUCCUUAUAACUAAAUUACUUUACUCCGCUUACAAAAAUAACUUUUGAUUAUACCAACCUUUAUGAUUAGUUAGUCAAAGAAAUGUUUUUCAGAUACAUUUCAGAAAUAGAUCCAAUUUUUACAGUAUUGUGAGAUACAUUAUAGGUACGAAAAUGUAAAGAUCUUAAAAUUGUUUACAUCAGAAAAUCCUUUAGAUCCACACUGUCCAGUAUGGUAACCACUAGCCAUAUAUGCCUACUGAACACUUGAAAUGGGGGUAGUCUGAAUUGGGAUAUCCUGUAACUGUUAAGUACUUAGACUUUAAAAGAUUCAGUACAAAAAGAGAAUGUAAAAUAUCUCAGUUGUUUAAUAUGGAUUUUAUGUUGAAAUAAUAUUUAAUAUAUUGGGUUAAACAGAUUAUAUUAAAAUUAAUUUUAUCUUUUUCAAUGUGGCUACUAGAACAUUUUAAGAUUACAAAUAGCUUACAUCAUAUUUCUGUUAGUGUUGUUCUAUGUCAUUAAAAUGCACUGCAUGGUUGCUUGGAAGUGCAAUUAAGGGAUCUUGGAUCCAGUUAAACUAAAAUACCCUUGAAGUGGUAGGGGUGAAUUAUUUUGAGAAACUUAGUAUUGUGUAUCUUCAGGUUAUAGAGGGCCCUUCCACUAGCGAGACACCUCUAAGUAGGAUGUCAUAUGACCUUUGGACUGCCUACUAGUAGUCAUUGUCCUUUAACUCUGUAGUAGGAAUGACUACUAUGAACUCUUGGUUUAAGCACUAGCUGAAAUGACUUCUGUCUGUUAGACAGACAUCAAAUAAGAAUAAUCUCCACUGACUCUAUGCUCUCAGUCACCUUCCUCUAACUUUUAAGUCUUUCUAACUGGGAAGAGCAUGGAAGAACUUCCAUUUCUAUUUUACUUAGUGUCAGUUAGCAAAAUGAAUAUUAAGAGGUCAGCCUGCCAAUUUUGGACAACAGGACAGAAAAGUUCUAUAGAGAAAUUACAAAAAAAUAACACCUUCCCUUAAGGAUAAAACUGAAUUUUAUUUUUUUUAGCACUAUAUCUAACCUUUUUCUCUAUAUUUUCUUAUCCAAACUGUAUGUGAUGUAGGUAGCAAAUUUUUAGAAGCUUUGCAUGUGAUCUUCUAACAGAAAUGAGAAUAAUAAAAGGCUAGUAUUUAUAUAGUGCUUUAAAGUUUAAACAGUACUUCAAUAUAUAUUUCUCCACUGAUUGUUAAAACAGCCCUAUGAAUUAGAUUAGGCAAGGGAUAUUCUACUAAAGAGUAAAUGGGAACAGUGAUUGACUGAACCAAGAUCAGGCAUCUGGUUAAUGACAUAGCCGAGAUUCAGUUCUUAGUCUUCAGAUUCCAGAUCUUACGUUAUUUUGAAAAAUUACUAAUAGCUCUCAAAUUUAUCAGCGUGAUUUUUAAUAAGAUGCUCAAAAUUUUAAAUAAAUGCAAAGCACAAAGAUAGCAUAUUUCCCUGAGAGGAAAAUUAAGAUUUGGAGGACAAUCAUUCCUGCUUUUUCAUUCCAUAGUUGAUCCCUUCUCAAAUAUCAUGUCAGGUGCUAAAUAGCUUGUCUCAAAAACAAACAAAAACAGCUUCCUAUGAAGAAAACCAGUAAAAUUGCUAUGAUUCUCUGUUAACAUAAAGUCUUUUAAUUAUUUUGAAAAGAGAAUGAUUAUAGGUAUUCUAAAAGGAUUCCUUAUAGGAUUGUUUAGGCCACUCCCAAAGUGGAAGGACACGGUGUGGACAACAUGUCAUAUCCAUUUGUCUUGGGAAUGAUAUUGUUAUGUUAUAUAUUCUUCCUCCCCAAUUGUGCCCAACCCCAAAGCACAAUGAUGAGGCUGAGGGAGGGAUCUCAUAAUCAUUUUUGAAAGAUGCAGCUUGAAGACCUUGAAUUUGCUAUGGAAAAGCUGCCACACACCUCUCCUCCCCACUGGGUUAGAGACUUAUUUGAAAGAUCAGUAAAAAUCAAUUAGCACUAAGAAGCCAUUAUAUGAAAGAUGAAGGAUCAGCAAAGGACACUCUUUCAUAUUAUGUAACUAAACAUGUUAACCAAUGCCAAAGGUUGUAGUAAUUUCUGUGAGAAAAAAGGGUUAAAAACACUUAAGAAUAUCACAGGUUAUUGGGAAAUCCACUGUAUUCAGUGGAGUAUGGACUAUUCCAGUGAUGCUGAAAUCUUCAUAUAAGUAAGAUGCACUCUCAGACUUGGAAUUAUAGCAGAUUACAGAGCUUCAUUCUCCAGGCUAUAACAGGCUCCAUUAUAGCAGACAUUUUUGGAAAAGCUCUGUUAAUUAAAACGCUUUAUUUAUAUACUAAUUUUUCAUCCUGUCUUUCAAAUGUGAAAGGGAAUUAAAUAUGAAAUGGCUAAUUUAAAAUGUCAGGGUUCUUUUUUUCCAAGCCAACCUUACAUCAAGAACAGGAAUCCCUGUGCCAAAGAAAUGGUUCCCAAUUAUCCAUCUUGGGUUUUGUUAUACAUUGUACAGAAGUCAACAAAACAAGUAUGUAACAGAACCUGCCUAAAUAGCAACCACCCUCAUUAAAAACAGAGAAUUAAUCAGGGGGUGACUGAAGGAAGCAGUGCCUCAUAGGUUCCCUCCUUUUCUUCUUUUCUAAUCAUAGAACAAAAUAUGUUACAUAAAAGGAUCGGAACUAUUAUGCAGUACUCAAUUAGAGGGAGGUGAAUAGGUCUCUAACAUGCUGUUUUAUUAAAAGAGCAGACUGGUGUUUGCAUGAUUGUUGUUUCAUUACAGACCCUGUCAUUAAUUCCAUGUGUCAAUACUGCCCUGUAGUACACAGAGCAGACAAGAAAGAAGAGCCCUUGAAAACAAGGGAAUGAUUUUUGAGUCGUUAUCAAGCUAAGUGGCAAGCGGGAAGCUGAAACUCGUAUAGUUGAACAUUCUUGGAGGCUUAUCUCUUCCCUGGCCAGAUGCCUGAUCAGAUGAGAAGCCCGCCAUGAUACUGUCACAGUGCCUAGAAUGGGCUCUUUAUCCAGUAGACAUCACUGUACUUUUUGAUGAUAACGAGGGCAGUCUUAACUUGUGUUAAGGCCUGUGUAUAGCAUUGAAGAGAGGAGUUGCUUAAGCCAAUGGGACUAAAACCUGAUGGGACAAUAACGCCUUUGGAGGAAGCACUCAACCAGUACUCUGUCAUCGAGGAGACCAGCUCUGACACAGACUAAAAGCAUCACCUGCUCAACUCUGAAUAUUGCUUUUAUCAGCAUCUUUUCUCUGUAGCUCCAGGGGAAUCUUUUCUCUAAAACAUUUAUGCCCUUGCUUUGGCUAGAAACACAUUAACUGGUUUACUCAUUGAGAAUCCAGCAUAUUUAAGAGGUGAUCCUGUGUUUUUGCGAUAUUGAGGCAUUCAUACAGAGCUGCAGUUAGAUGGAGUUGCAGGGGCUAGAAGCGGAAAAAAAAAAAAAUUCCAUUCCAUCAAGAUGGAACUGAAGGACUUCAUUCUAUAAAGCAGCCCUGGUUGAAUCUGGCAGUUCUGUUUGCCAAGAUUCUUAACAGAAGAUUUAGCCGUGUCCUUCCUCUCACUCGUGUGAGCUGCCCCUUCUGAAUCUCUCCAGAGACAGAGGCAGGUGAGAAGCAGAAUAAUCUGCUAAGAAAAGGGCUGAGGCAAGUGGCUUGUUAGAUCAGGACUGAGUGAAUGGAAGCCAAGCAGCUGCUCCGUAAACCUAGCCCCACUCUUCACUUCAUUUCAAUUUUGUAUAAAUCUAUAGAAAUGUGCACACACGCACACACACAUACACACAGCCCCAGACUUGCAAACUGAUUACACUCAAAAAGUUUGCAUGUCAGUUACCUAGAACUUCAGAAUACAUUUCUCCCUAUAAAGUUAUAAAUGAUGGUUUAGUUCUGAGGCAGCUACAAAUGCCUAUUUAUUCCGUAAUGUACCUGAACACUAGUACCAUAGAACUGAACCUCCAUCUUUAUUACUGCAUGGGGAGCAUGCAUUCUGAGGUCUAAUGUGGGGUGCCAGGAAAACAUAUCCUCCAACCCAGUAGAGGGAAUAGGGACCCCCUGGGUACUGGAAGUUCUUUUGUGGCCUCCCCUGGGGGUGGGGGAGUCAGCAGCACCCGUUUGUACAUAGAGGUCAUUCAUAUGUCACAAGUUUUAAAUCGGGGACUGUGUGUGCUUGUGUGUGUGUUCUACCUUUCUACCACAUGUGAUCAGUUUAAUGGUAACUUUAUUUAUUUAAAGAAGAAACACAAAUAGUUACUGUUAAACUGAUUAAGGCUGUUUAUUUUUACUUUUAGAAUUGGUCAUACGAAGAAGUAGAAAACGAAUCAUGCAGUAGACAGUGGGCCUAGUUAAUCAAUGGCUAAAGUUGAAAAGGGGUUGGUUUCCUUUUAUAUAUAUAUAUGUAUGUGUAUAUAUAUGUAUAUAAGCACAUACAUAUAUAUAUAUAUAUAUACACACACAUAAUGUGCUUAACCACUGCCUUUUAAAACUUUAAAUUAAAUAAAACAUUGGGGUUGAUUCAA
RNA transcript from Camelus dromedarius (Arabian camel), 7965 nucleotides. It is a transcript of the gene named RIC8 guanine nucleotide exchange factor B, with no coding region annotated. The transcript has 12 exons. The record is from RefSeq and is a predicted model, not a curated record. NCBI's taxonomy places the organism in Eukaryota, Metazoa, Chordata, Mammalia, Artiodactyla, Camelidae.